Molecule: long non-coding RNA, 1344 nt
Filed under: Homo sapiens (human)
Lineage: Eukaryota; Metazoa; Chordata; Mammalia; Primates; Hominidae
Description: HSALNT0058651
Source: RNAcentral
GGGUAAAAGCAGGAGGUAAAGAAAUAGUCAAAUCAUCUACUGCCUGAGAGCACCGGGGAGAGACAAUGAUCGGAAAAUAAAUCCAGGCCUUUGUGCCAGCAGGGGCAACCCCCUCUGGGUCCCCUCCCAUUGUAUGUGAGCUCUGUUUUCAUUCUAUUAAAUCUUGCAACUGCACAUUCUUCUGGUCCGUGUUUCUGCCGGCUCAAACUGAGCUUUCGCUCUCCAUCCACCAUGGCUGAACGCCACAGUCGCAGACCUGCCGUUGACUUUCAUCCCUCUGGAUUUGGCAGGGUGUCCACUGAGCUUCUGAUUCAGCGAGGUGCUCAUUGCUGCUCCCAAUCAGGCUAGAGGCUCGCCAUUGUUCCUGCACCGGGAAGUGCCCGGGUUCAUCCUAAUUAGGCUGAACACUAGUCUCUGGGUUCCAUGGUUCUCUUCCGUGACCCACAGCUUCUAAUAGAGCUAUAACACUUACCGCAUGGCCCAAGGUUCCAUUCCUUGGAAUCCCUGAGGCCAAGAACCCCACGUCAGAGAACAAAAGGCUUGCUGCCAUCUUGGGAGCAGCCGGCCCCAUCUUGGGAGUGGCCCACCACCAUCUUGGGAGCUCUAAGAACAAAGACCUGCUGGUAACACUAUCUCUGGCCACCUAUCUCUGGCCUAUCUAUCUCUGGUUCCUAUCUCUGGCCAUGGCUUGAGCCAUUUGGGUGCAGUGAACAGGAAACUGUAAAGAGUGACAGCCCUGCUUCUACAAAAUGGAUGCCAAGGUUACACCUCCUCCCUCCUUAAAUAGCACUUAGUGUAAUUGAUGCCAAGUUAAUCCCUGUGCUGCCAAGAGAAGUGUCCAUGGGGUAGGAACCGCAUGCUGUUUUACCUGUGCUUAAAGAGGAAAGUGUCACGCGUCUCUGAAGAAACAAUGUUGACUGAAAAAUAGCGCCAAGUCUCAAACAAGAUCUUUGUGAAAAAUAAAGCAUGAAGCACAAAAUGAGAGAGUAAGUCUUAUUAUCUAAGAAUUAAAAUGAUGAUUAAGGUGAUUAUCUUUUUCUUCUUUAUUUUUAAAUAGUUUGCAAAAUUAUAACAAUAGGUAUGCAUUAUUUUAUAAUUAUUGACAACAUGGUGUUUUGUAAAACAAAGUGUAUUAUAUGAAGAAUAUUCUCAAUUUUAUUUGGAGCUAUAAAAAACUAUAAGACUAUGCAGAAGCACAAUAAAAUGCUAACAGUGAGUAUCUCUGAAUAGUGGGAUUAUUGCUAAAUUUUAUCCCACUCUCCUUUGCUUUUUAUUAUUGUCUAAAUUUCGUGCAGUGAGUAUAUGCUACCUUUGUAAUUUAAAAAUAAAGUUGGUUAAUUUUCU